ACUUGAUGGUGUUUAUGACGUCGAAUAUCGACGUCAUAAACACCAAACUUGAUGGUGUUUAUGACGUCGAUAUUCGACGUCAUAAACACCA
Molecule: microRNA precursor, 91 nt
Filed under: Paramuricea clavata
Lineage: Eukaryota; Metazoa; Cnidaria; Anthozoa; Malacalcyonacea; Plexauridae
Source: RNAcentral